RNAcentral lists this ribosomal RNA (468 nucleotides) under uncultured bacterium. RNAcentral describes it as "partial 16S ribosomal RNA". It matches the Rfam family "Bacterial small subunit ribosomal RNA", at positions 28 to 507 of the family's 1533-position model. The record is from RNAcentral.
GACGAACGCUGGCGGCGUGCUUAACACAUGCAAGUCGAACGGAAAGGCCCUGCUUUUGUGGGGUGCUCGAGUGGCGAACGGGUGAGUAACACGUGAGUAACCUGCCCUUGACUUUGGGAUAACUUCAGGAAACUGGGGCUAAUACCGGAUAGGAGCUCCUGCUGCAUGGUGGGGGUUGGAAAGUUUCGGCGGUUGGGGAUGGACUCGCGGCUUAUCAGCUUGUUGGUGGGGUAGUGGCUUACCAAGGCUUUGACGGGUAGCCGGCCUGAGAGGGUGACCGGCCACAUUGGGGCUAGGAUAAGGCCAAGAAUCCUCAGGGAGGCAGCAGUCGGGAAUAUUGCAAGAUGGGCGGAAGCCUGAUGCAGCAACGCCGCGUGCGGGAUGACGGCCGUCAGGUUGUAAACCGCUGUCGCCUGUGACGAAGCGUGAGUGACGGUAAUGGGUAAAGAAGGACCGGCUAACUACGUG